RNAcentral lists this ribosomal RNA (1402 nucleotides) under Peribacillus simplex. Its description in RNAcentral is "bacterial SSU rRNA". It matches the Rfam family "Bacterial small subunit ribosomal RNA". Lineage: Bacteria; Bacillati; Bacillota; Bacilli; Caryophanales; Bacillaceae. RNAcentral also lists the same sequence under 1 other name. The record is from RNAcentral.
AGAGUUUGAUCCUGGCUCAGGACGAACGCUGGCGGCGUGCCUAAUACAUGCAAGUCGAGCGAAUCGAUGGGAGCUUGCUCCCUGAGAUUAGCGGCGGACGGGUGAGUAACACGUGGGCAACCUGCCUAUAAGACUGGGAUAACUUCGGGAAACCGGAGCUAAUACCGGAUACGUUCUUUUCUCGCAUGAGAGAAGAUGGAAAGACGGUUUACGCUGUCACUUAUAGAUGGGCCCGCGGCGCAUUAGCUAGUUGGUGAGGUAAUGGCUCACCAAGGCGACGAUGCGUAGCCGACCUGAGAGGGUGAUCGGCCACACUGGGACUGGGACACGGCCCAGACUCCUACGGGAGGCAGCAGUAGGGAAUCUUCCGCAAUGGACGAAAGUCUGACGGAGCAACGCCGCGUGAACGAAGAAGGCCUUCGGGUCGUAAAGUUCUGUUGUUAGGGAAGAACAAGUACCAGAGUAACUGCUGGUACCUUGACGGUACCUAACCAGAAAGCCACGGCUAACUACGUGCCAGCAGCCGCGGUAAUACGUAGGUGGCAAGCGUUGUCCGGAAUUAUUGGGCGUAAAGCGCGCGCAGGUGGUUCCUUAAGUCUGAUGUGAAAGCCCACGGCUCAACCGUGGAGGGUCAUUGGAAACUGGGGAACUUGAGUGCAGAAGAGGAAAGUGGAAUUCCAAGUGUAGCGGUGAAAUGCGUAGAGAUUUGGAGGAACACCAGUGGCGAAGGCGACUUUCUGGUCUGUAACUGACACUGAGGCGCGAAAGCGUGGAGAGCAAACAGGAUUAGAUACCCUGGUAGUCCACGCCGUAAACGAUGAGUGCUAAGUGUUAGAGGGUUUCCGCCCUUUAGUGCUGCAGCUAACGCAUUAAGCACUCCGCCUGGGGAGUACGGCCGCAAGGCUGAAACUCAAAGGAAUUGACGGGGGCCCGCACAAGCGGUGGAGCAUGUGGUUUAAUUCGAAGCAACGCGAAGAACCUUACCAGGUCUUGACAUCCUCUGACAACCCUAGAGAUAGGGCUUUCCCCUUCGGGGGACAGAGUGACAGGUGGUGCAUGGUUGUCGUCAGCUCGUGUCGUGAGAUGUUGGGUUAAGUCCCGCAACGAGCGCAACCCUUGAUCUUAGUUGCCAGCAUUCAGUUGGGCACUCUAAGGUGACUGCCGGUGACAAACCGGAGGAAGGUGGGGAUGACGUCAAAUCAUCAUGCCCCUUAUGACCUGGGCUACACACGUGCUACAAUGGAUGGUACAAAGGGCUGCAAACCUGCGAAGGUAAGCGAAUCCCAUAAAGCCAUUCUCAGUUCGGAUUGCAGGCUGCAACUCGCCUGCAUGAAGCCGGAAUCGCUAGUAAUCGCGGAUCAGCAUGCCGCGGUGAAUACGUUCCCGGGUCUUGUACACACGC